Molecule: long non-coding RNA, 543 nt
Organism: Papaver somniferum (opium poppy)
Lineage: Eukaryota; Viridiplantae; Streptophyta; Magnoliopsida; Ranunculales; Papaveraceae
Exons: 3
Source: RefSeq, a predicted model, not a curated record
UCCCCAACCGUCUUUCUUCCCCUAUCUGCAGUUUCUCAAUCUCUACUCUUCUAAUUCACCUCAGUCUCUCACUCGUUAUAUCUGGAUUUCUUCUUUUCGUUCUUGUUUAGAUUUUGUUUCUAAUUCAUGUUAUUUAUAAACGACGAAGAACACCUAAAACCCAGAUGCAGACUCCUCUCCAAACAUCAUCAUUGGUUGAAGAUGAUCAAGAUCUGGGUGAUAUGAGGGCAAUGCUGCAUUCAAGGGAAAGCAAUGGAACAAAUCUGUAAACUACUAUACCAAAGCUAUCACGCUGAAGGAUUCAAUCGCAACCUACUACUGCAACCGAUCUGCUGCUUAUUUAGAAUUAGGAUGGUAAAGCAUGGUAACAGUAUUUAGGUGGUUACUUUCCAUAACUAGAAACCACCUAUUUCACUUUAUGUAGCUACCAAGAAGCUGAAACAGAUUGUACAAAAGCAAUAUCAAUUGAUAAAAGGAAUGUGAAAGCAUAUUUAAGACGAGGAACUGCAAAAGUAAUGUUAUUCUGCUAGGAAGAAGCUGCUG